RNAcentral lists this ribosomal RNA (429 nucleotides) under uncultured bacterium. RNAcentral's name for it is "bacterial SSU rRNA". It matches the Rfam family "Bacterial small subunit ribosomal RNA", at positions 30 to 461 of the family's 1533-position model. The record is from RNAcentral.
AUUGAACGCUGGCGGCAUGCUUUACACAUGCAAGUCGAACGGCAGCGCGGGGCAACCUGGCGGCGAGUGGCGAACGGGUGAGUAAUAUAUCGGAACGUACCCAAGAGUGGGGGAUAACGUAGCGAAAGUUACGCUAAUACCGCAUACGAUCUAAGGAUGAAAGUGGGGGAUCGCAAGACCUCAUGCUCCUGGAGCGGCCGAUAUCUGAUUAGCUAGUUGGUGAGGUAAAGGCUCACCAAGGCGACGAUCAGUAGCUGGUCUGAGAGGACGACCAGCCACACUGGGACUGAGACACGGCCCAGACUCCUACGGGAGGCAGCAGUGGGGAAUUUUGGACAAUGGGCGCAAGCCUGAUCCAGCAAUGCCGCGUGAGUGAAGAAGGCCUCGGGUUGUAAGACUCUUUGUUCUAGGGAAGAAACGGACUGGGGC